CUGAGUGGCAAUAAUCUAAAUUAAUUUCUUCUUCUUGUUUCUUUUGGGUUUUUUUUAUGGUUUAAUUUAAUAAUUAGAGGCAUGAAUUGAAACUCAGUUAUGGGAUGGAUUGUUUUCCCCCAAGUCCUUGUUAUGAGAAAGAAAAGAAAAGAAAAAAAAAGUAUUUUUAAUUUUUCAUAGAUGAAUCUCAAGAUGGAUGUAAUUUAUUUUGUUUGUGAC
RNAcentral lists this unclassified non-coding RNA (219 nucleotides) under Hevea brasiliensis (rubber tree). Lineage: Eukaryota; Viridiplantae; Streptophyta; Magnoliopsida; Malpighiales; Euphorbiaceae. The record is from RNAcentral.